GCAGAGGCUGAAGAAGAGUUGGAGGCUGAUUCAGCCUGGUGGGGAGCGAGCUGAGGAGGAGCAGUCUGGGAAGAAGAACUCUUGAUGGCCUGCUUCCCAUCCUCCAUCCUGGAAGACUGAUCUGAAACCCCAGGAGGAGGUCCUCUGAGCCCUGAGGCAGAGAUCUCUCACCUGGAAGAUGGGUCUAAUGACUGCGCCCCACACACACCAGAGAGGACUGCAGAUAGUGCGGGAUGAGAGGAAGAUCUCUGGCCCUGGAGACAGCAUCAUCAAGCGGUAGCUUCAUCUUUGGGAGCUGGGGCCUCUGCAGGAGCUUUACCCUCCUCUCUCCAUGCUGAGCCUGUCUCAACCCCCUAACCUGCACCCCAGUCUUUUGGGGUCACCUCAAGGCUUUGGCUGAUGCUUCUUUGCUGACGUCAACCAAGGUGAUGGACCCAUUUGUCCUUGUAAAGUAACUCUUGAACAUACAGGCACUUCUCCCUCCCUCCUCUUGCUUUGAAGGGUGGGUGGGCACCUGCCACCAUGGUCAGGGUGAGGGCCAGCCCCAUACCCCCAAUGUCAGAAGGCAGCUGCCCCUGGCCUGUGGGUUUAUCUCAGAGGGGCCAGGUUUUCCUCACUGUGUGUCCCCAGCACCUAGCCUGGGGCCCAGCCCAGGGUCACACUCAGUAAAUACUGGCUGAGAAUUAAGGGGGAACUUUCUCGUUCCCCUCCAACACUUUUCUUUUCUUUUUUUUGAGACAGAGUCUCACUCUGUCGCCCAGGCUGGAGUGCAGUGGCGCGAUCUCGGCUCACUGCAACCUCCACCUCCCAGAUUCAAGUGAUUCUCCUGCUUCAGCCUCCCGAGUAGUUGGGAUUACAGGUGCCCGUCACCACAUCCGGCUAAUUUUUGUAUUUUUAGUAGAGACGGGGUUUUGCAUGUUGACCAGGCUGGUCUCGAACUUUUAACCUCAAGUGAUCCACCCGCCUUGGCCUCCCAAAGUGCUGGAAUUACAGGCAUGAGCCACCGCACCUGGCACCAAUGCUUUUCUGCAAGUGCUAGUGUGUGCCAUAGAGACAUCUGUGCAUGCCCAGGGGCGGCUGAGGGGCCAUAAGCCUCCUUUGACUCCAUUAUCUUGCCUGUGCAGGCCAGACGAUUGCCUGAACCCACAAUAGCUUCACCAGAAGAGGGGCUUACUCAUCACUUCCACACAACCUGUGCCCCUCCCCCACUGGGACCAGCUGGGGUUGAGGGGGUGAGGGUCAGGCUGGGGAAGGCUCCUGGAGAUUGCAUUUGCAACCUACCCCUCCCCUGCCAACCUCUAUUACCACACUGAGAGGAACAGGGAGACAUCACUAAAUUGAGGACCUAGGUAGAGAGAGAAGAAGAGAGUGUCCUGUCAGCCUUCAAAGGUUAUUCAGAGCUCUUGGUGCAGGAAGGCCCUGCUAGAAAACUCCAAGAGUCCAGGAGGGCCUUGGGCAUAAAAGCUCAGAGUUGUCCUCAAGAAGCAACUGCAUGGCAGUUAUAUCAGAUGCACAUUCAACAAUAAUAAUAGCAAAACCUUACACAGACCUACAAGCCCUUAUCCACACUUCAGAGAUCCCAGUGUUUCUGAACAAAAUAAUGUAACACCAAAACUCAUUGGGUAGCCAAAACCUAACCUGAACAGAUGUAUGAAUACUCGUAUAUUGUUUUCUGCAGAAAUAUUAAUGUGUUUCGUUAUGGGAUGCUAAGCCAGAUCCCACUACCCACUAGUGUGUUAUAUAAGUCAUGUGCUUUCCAAAAUCCCAAAACUCCCUAAAUUCCAAAAUGCAUCAGGAUCCUGAGACACUGGAGUUUCAGUUAAGGAGUUGUGACCUGUGUAGCUUCCUCCAUGACAGGCACUGUUCUAACUGCUCUCCAUAAUAUUAAUUCAUUCAAUCCUUACAAUGACCUGACAGAGUAGAACUUACUAUUAUUCUUCCAAUUUUAUAGAUAAGGAAACUGAGGCAGAGAGAGGUAAAGUGACUUGCCCAAACACAUACAGCUAAUGAAUGCUGCAACUGAAGCUUCCAGAGCCUAGUUCCAGAGCCCACUCUCCGAACAAGUCUACCAUCUAUUUCCCUUAAAAGGGCUGGUGAGGCCGGGCGCAGUGGCUCACACCUGUAAUCCCAGCACUUUGGGAGGCUGAGGUGGGUGGAUCACCUGAGGUCAGAAGUUUGAGACCACCCUGCCAACAUGGUGAAACCCCAUCUCUAUUAAAAAUACAAAAAUUAGGUGGGCGUGGUGGCGGGCACCUGUAAUCUCAGCUACUCGGGAGGCUGAGGCAGGAGAACUGCUGGAACCCAGGAGGCAGAGGUUGCAGUGAGCCGAAUCCGUGUCAUUGCACUCCAGCCCAGGCCAACAACAGCAAGAAUUCGUAUUAAAAAAAAGGCUGGUGAGAGGGGCGUGGAGGUUGAGGGGUGUGGUAAACUGUAGGAGAUAACGAUUUUAUGUUGUGUGUGUGCUAUGGUUUGGAUGUGGUUUGUCUCCUCCAAAAUGCAUGUAGAAACUUGGUCCCCAAUGUAAUGGUAUUGGGAGGUGGGGCCUUUAAGAGGGGAUUAGGUCAUUAGGAGGGAUUAAUGCCUUUCUCACAGGAGUGGGUUAAUUCUCACAGAAGUGGGUGAGUUAUUGAGAGCAGUUCAUUACAAAAGUGAGUUUGGCUUCCUCGGCUUUCUCUUGCUUCCUCGGCUUUCUCUUGCUUCCUCUCACCCUACGAUGCAUUCUGCUGUGUUACAACACAGCACGAGGCCCUCACCAGAAGCUGACCAGAUCCAGCCACCCUGUCUUGGACUUCCCAGCCUCCAGAACUGUAAAAAACAAACCCCUUUUCUUUGUCAAUUACCCAGUCCCAUGGGUUCUAUGACAGCAACAGAAAGUGGACAAAUUGUGUAACAUGCACAUGUCCAGGAGGGUGUGUGAGAGGUAAUCCUGUUGUUACGGUUGUUCUGUAGGGUGACCACAAUUGGGAAUUUCCCUGGGACUGUUUUGGUUUUAGCACUGAAAACUCUGUAUUUCAAUAAACUACUCAGACCUGGUAAACCAGGAUGGUUGGUCACCCUAGUUCUUGGCCUCUUUUCCUAUGAGCAACAUGAGGCUCAUGACCCACUGAGGAAGAUUCUAGGAUCUGAAGAUGCACUUUGUCUACAUAACACAGCUUCUCAACCCAAACCAGGAUCUCCAGCAGGCACUUACUCAAGACAUGGGGAAGAAGCCCCGGAGAAAAUGCUGGCUGUAUCAGAUUCAGUGAGGGACGAUGCCUCUGUCUCCACCUGGCAUCUUCCUAAGAGGUUUUCAAGGACCAAUGUGACUCUAUCAGGCUUUCACCUUGAGUGUUGAUGCUGGCCUCCAUUGUAAAUACAGUGGGAAUACACUUGAUAUUCUAAUUUAGAAAUGCCUGACUCUCAUCCCCAGCUUUGAAUUUUAACUCCUCAAAGUCCAAAGUGACUUCUUAGGAAUGACCCACACCAUGAGCUCAUAUCUAUCUUCCUGAGGCCUGCCCAGACCUGUCGAAGUAGAGAGAAGAAGACAAGGCCCCUGCUCUUGAGAAGCAGAAAACGUAUGAGGAAGAAAAUAGCAGAUGAGAAGAAUCAACCAAAUUCCGGAAGCUGGAAGGCAGAUGGAAGAAGGCCCUUGAAUGAUGCCAGCACCUUGAUAUUGGACUUUCCAGCCUCCAGAACCAUGAGCCAAUACAUUUCUGUUCCAUAAAAAUUACCCAGUUCCAGGUAUUCUGCUAUAGCAGCACAAAAUGGACUAAAACAAUGUUGGCACAAGACUCAGUGCUGGGCCUGGCAUGCAACAGGUCCUUGGAGUGGCGUGCUGUGUGGAUAAUGAAUAUUGGGGAAGGCAUCUCUCUCCAGCCCCUCUCAAGCUUUCUGUAGUCACUGGUCCACUCUGUAUUGCUAUGAAGAAGCUCAAGACCAGCCUGUAUCACUCGGGGUCCUGGCAGGAACCAGGUGCCACACUCAAACUGAGUAAUUGAAGAGGGUUUAAUAUGGGAGUUAUUUACAUAGGUGUGGGCUGGUGUAGCUGCCCAUAUGCCCUCAAAAUCACCUCUACAUGGCAAUAGCUACUUACUGCUAACAGAGUCUCUCUCUCAUUGCUGCAAAUAUUUUCUAGCCAUGCAAGAAACUCAGCCGGUCAUGUUGAACAAACUAAGAGUGCCAGGAAGUUAAUGUCCUGGAAGCAUUGCCAGAGGGGAGGGGGCAGUUAGAUUCCCCAGCUUCCUCGCUCCUCUGCUGGGUUAAGCCUGCAACAUAUUCAUCAUCUCCCAGAGUGCUGCCCAGGGAUAGAGCUCCAGGUGCUCAGUGUGGUGACCUGCUCAUGUCAGCUUCUUCCCCUUUCCUGUCUUGUUUCGCACCCACAUCCUUCCCAUGUUUCCUCUUCCCAAAUAAACUACUUGCAUUGAAAUCUUUGUCUCAGGCUCUGCUUCUGGGGAAACCUGAAC
This 4442-nucleotide long non-coding RNA is filed under the name Homo sapiens (human). RNAcentral describes it as "HSALNT0267667". Lineage: Eukaryota; Metazoa; Chordata; Mammalia; Primates; Hominidae. The record is from RNAcentral.